CGAAACCAGGUGAUCUACCCUUGGUCAGGUUGAAGUUCAGGUAACACUGAAUGGAGGACCGAACCGACUUACGUUGAAAAGUGAGCGGAUGAACUGAGGGUAGCGGAGAAAUUCCAAUCGAACCUGGAGAUAGCUGGUUCUCUCCGAAAUAGCUUUAGGGCUAGCCUCAAGUGAUGAUUAUUGGAGGUAGAGCACUGUUUGGACGAGGGGCCCCUCUCGGGUUACCGAAUUCAGACAAACUCCGAAUGCCAAUUAAUUUAACUUGGGAGUCAGAACAUGGGUGAUAAGGUCCGUGUUCGAAAGGGAAACAGCCCAGACCACCAGCUAAGGUCCCAAAAUAUAUGUUAAGUGGAAAAGGAUGUGGCGUUGCCCAGACAACUAGGAUGUUGGCUUAGAAGCAGCCAUCAUUUAAAGAGUGCGUAAUAGCUCACUAGUCGAGUGACACUGCGCCGAAAAUGUACCGGGGCUAAACAUAUUACCGAAGCUGUGGAUUGUCCUUUGGACAAUGGUAGGAGAGCGUUCUAAGGGCGUUGAAGCAUGAUCGUAAGGACAUGUGGAGCGCUUAGAAGUGAGAAUGCCGGUGUGAGUAGCGAAAGACGGGUGAGAAUCCCGUCCACCGAUUGACUAAGGUUUCCAGAGGAAGGCUCGUCCGCUCUGGGUUAGUCGGGUCCUAAGCUGAGGCCGACAGGCGUAGGCGAUGGAUAACAGGUUGAUAUUCCUGUACCACCUAUAAUCGUUUUAAUCGAUGGGGGGACGCAGUAGGAUAGGCGAAGCGUGCGAUUGGAUUGCACGUCUAAGCAGUAAGGCUGAGUAUUAGGCAAAUCCGGUACUCGUUAAGG
This 839-nucleotide ribosomal RNA is filed under the name Staphylococcus aureus. Its description in RNAcentral is "partial 23S ribosomal RNA". It matches the Rfam family "Bacterial large subunit ribosomal RNA", at positions 716 to 1555 of the family's 2925-position model. The record is from RNAcentral. Lineage: Bacteria; Bacillati; Bacillota; Bacilli; Caryophanales; Staphylococcaceae.